Molecule: ribosomal RNA, 1350 nt
Filed under: uncultured marine eukaryote
Lineage: Eukaryota
Description: SSU rRNA
Rfam family: Eukaryotic small subunit ribosomal RNA
Source: RNAcentral
CCCUAAAAGGAGGCAGCAGGCGCGCAAUUACCCAAUCCUGACUCAGGGAGGUAGUGACAAGAAAUAACAAUAAACCGGCUUAUGCCGGUUUAAUUGGAAUGAGUACAAUUUAAACAUCUUAACGAGGAACAAUUGGAGGGCAAGUCUGGUGCCAGCAGCCGCGGUAAUUCCAGCUCCAAUAGCGUAUACUAAAGUUGUUGCAGUUAAAAAGCUCGUAGUUGGAUUUCUGUGGGGACGGAGCGGCCGGCCGCACAUCGCGGUUCGAGCUAGCGCUUUCCCUACAUCCUGCCGCGAACCGUGCUACCAUUAGUUUGGUGGCGCCGGGGAUCGGCUCGAUUACUUUGAGAAAAAUAGAGUGUUCAAAGCAGGCCACAUGCCUUGAAUAAGUUAGCAUGGAAUAAUAACUAAGGACUUCGGUUCUAUUUUGUUGGUGUUCGGGACUGAAGUAAUGAUUGAUAGGGACAGUUGGGGCGGUCUGUAUUCCAAAGCGAGAGGUGAAAUUCUUAGACCUUCGGAAGACAAACAGCUGCGAAAGCGUUCCGCAAGGAUGUUCCCUUUGAUCAAGAACGAAAGUUGGGGGAUCGAAGACGAUCAGAUACCGUCGUAGUCUCAACUAUAAACUAUACCAGCUAGGGAUCGGCCAACGUUAUUUCAAACCGACUUGGUCGGCACCUUAUGAGAAAUCAAAGCAUCUGGGUUCCGGGGGGGAGUAUGGUCGCAAGGCUGAAACUUAAAGGAAUUGACGGAAGGGCACCACCAGCCGUGGAGCCUGUGGCUUAGUUUGACUCAACACGGGAAAACUUACCAGGUCCAGACAUAGUAAGGAUUGACAGAUUGAUAGCUCUUUCUUGAUUCUGUGGGUGGUGGUGCAUGGCCGUUCUUAGUUGGUGGAGUGAUUUGUCUGGUUAAUUCCGUUAACGAACGAGACCCCAGCCUGCUAAAUAGCGCGUGUGAGCUUUGCUCGCGGCGAGCUUCUUAGAGGGACUAUGAUGCGCGAUAGCACAUGGAAGUUUGGGGCAAUAACAGGUCUGUGAUGCCCUUAGAUGUUCUGGGCCGCACACGGGCUACACUGGCGCCUGCAACGAGCAUAUCAGCUGGCCUGAGAGGGUCUUGGCUAAUCUUUUGAACCGGCGCCGUGCUUGGGAUUGACCUUUGCAAUUGUUGGUCAUGCAACGAGGAAUGCCUUGUAAACGCGAGUCAUCAGCUCGCAUUGAAUACGUCCCUGCCCUUUGUACACACCGCCCGUCGCUCCUACCGAUGAAUGUUCCGAUGAAAUUUUCGGAGAGCACCUGUGAACUUGGCUCCGCCUUGCGAACGGGAGGCUCAAAGUCACAUAAAUCUACCAUUUAA